GAUGAACGCUGGCUACAGGCUUAACACAUGCAAGUCGAGGGGAAACGACGGGGAAGCUUGCUUCCCCGGGCGUCGACCGGCGCACGGGUGAGUAACGCGUAUCCAACCUGCCUCUGACUGAGGGAUAACCCGUCGAAAGUCGGCCUAAUACCUCAUGGUAUCGUCUGCGGGCAUCCAACGACGAUUAAAGAUUUCAUCGGUCAGGGAUGGGGAUGCGUCUGAUUAGCUUGUUGGCGGGGUAACGGCCCACCAAGGCUACGAUCAGUAGGGGUUCUGAGAGGAAGGUCCCCCACAUUGGAACUGAGGCACGGUCCAAACUCCUACGGGAGGCAGCAGUGAGGAAUAUUGGUCAAUGGGCGAGAGCCUGAACCAGCCAAGUAGCGUGCAGGAAGACGGCCCUAUGGGUUGUAAACUGCUUUUAUGCGGGGAUAAAGUGAGGGACGUGUCCCUCAUUGCAGGUACCGCAUGAAUAAGGACCGGCUAAUUCCGUG
Molecule: ribosomal RNA, 491 nt
Filed under: uncultured bacterium
Lineage: Bacteria
Description: partial 16S ribosomal RNA
Rfam family: Bacterial small subunit ribosomal RNA
Source: RNAcentral